This 513-nucleotide ribosomal RNA is filed under the name uncultured bacterium. RNAcentral's name for it is "partial 16S ribosomal RNA". It matches the Rfam family "Bacterial small subunit ribosomal RNA", at positions 28 to 523 of the family's 1533-position model. The record is from RNAcentral.
GACGAACGCUGGCGGCGUGCCUAAUACAUGCAAGUUGAGCGCUGAAGGUUGGUACUUGUACCGACUGGAUGAGCAGCGAACGGGUGAGUAACGCGUGGGGAAUCUGCCUUUGAGCGGGGGACAACAUUUGGAAACGAAUGCUAAUACCGCAUAAAAACUUUAAACACAAGUUUUAAGUUUGAAAGAUGCAAUUGCAUCACUCAAAGAUGAUCCCGCGUUGUAUUAGCUAGUUGGUGAGGUAAAGGCUCACCAAGGCGAUGAUACAUAGCCGACCUGAGAGGGUGAUCGGCCACAUUGGGACUGGGACACGGCCCAAACUCCUACGGGAGGCAGCAGUAGGGAAUCUUCGGCAAUGGACGAAAGUCUGACCGAGCAACGCCGCGUGAGUGAAGAAGGUUUUCGAAUCGUAAAACUCUGUUGGUAGAGAAGAACGUUGGUGAGAGUGGAAAGCUCAUCAAGUGACGGUAACUACCCAGAAAGGGACGGCUAACUACGUGCCAGCCGCCGCGGUAA